Molecule: ribosomal RNA, 451 nt
Filed under: uncultured bacterium
Lineage: Bacteria
Description: bacterial SSU rRNA
Rfam family: Bacterial small subunit ribosomal RNA
Source: RNAcentral
GUGAGGAAUUUUGCGCAAUGGGCGAAAGCCUGACGCAGCAACGCCGCGUGGACGAUGAAGGUCUUCGGAUCGUAAAGUCCUGUUGAGUGGGAAGAAGACUGCGGGAGCUAAUACCUCCCGCAUGAGACUGUACCACCUGAGGAAGCCCCGGCUAACUCCGUGCCAGCAGCCGCGGUAAUACGGAGGGGGCGAGCGUUGUUCGGAAUUAUUGGGCGUAAAGGGCGCGUAGGCGGCCGAACAAGUCUGACGUGAAAUCCCCCGGCCCAACCGGGGAACUGCGUUUGAAACUGUCCGGCUCGAGUCCGGGAGAGGGUAGCGGAAUUCCCAGUGUAGCGGUGAAAUGCGUAGAUAUUGGGAGGAACACCGGUGGCGAAGGCGGCUACCUGGACCGGUACUGACGCUGAGGCGCGAAAGCUAGGGUAGCAAACAGGAUUAGAAACCCUUGUAGUCC